This 406-nucleotide ribosomal RNA is filed under the name uncultured bacterium. RNAcentral's name for it is "partial 16S ribosomal RNA". It matches the Rfam family "Bacterial small subunit ribosomal RNA", at positions 30 to 526 of the family's 1533-position model. The record is from RNAcentral.
AUUGAACGCUGGCGGCAGGCCUAACACAUGCAAGUCGAACGAGUGGCGGACGGGUGAGUAAUGACUGGGAAACAGCCUGAUGGAGGGGGAUAACUACUGGAAACGGUAGCUAAUACCGCAUACCAUCGGAUGUGCACAGAUUGGAUUAGCUAGUAAGUGGGGUAAAGGCUCACAUAGGCGACGAUCCCUAGCUGGUAUGAGAGGAUGACCAGCCACACUGUAACGUAGACACGGUCCCGACUCCUGCGGUAGGCAGCAGUGGGGAAUAUUGCACAAUUUGCGCAAGCCGUAUGCAGCCAUGCCGCUUGUAUGAAGAAGGCCUUCGUGUUGUAAAGUACUUUCAGCGGGGAGGCGUUACCCGCAGAAGAAGCACCGGCUAACUCCGUGCCAGCAGCCGCGGUAAUAC